Molecule: RNA transcript, 6104 nt
Organism: Felis catus (domestic cat)
Lineage: Eukaryota; Metazoa; Chordata; Mammalia; Carnivora; Felidae
Gene: MLH1
Gene name: mutL homolog 1
Exons: 21
Source: RefSeq, a predicted model, not a curated record
AUCUCGACGUGUCUUGGGCUCCUCUGGCGCCAAAAUGUCGCUCGUAGCGGGGGUUAUUCGGCGGCUGGACGAAACAGUGGUGAACCGCAUCGCGGCAGGGGAAGUCAUCCAGCGGCCGGCCAACGCCAUCAAGGAGAUGAUUGAGAACUGCUUAGAUGCAAAAGCCACCAGCAUCCAAGUGGUUGUUAAAGAGGGAGGCCUCAAGUUGAUUCAGAUCCAAGACAAUGGCACUGGGAUCCGGAAAGAAGAUCUGGAUAUUGUGUGUGAGAGGUUCACUACAAGUAAACUGCAGUCCUUUGAGGAUUUAGCUAGUAUUUCUACCUAUGGCUUUCGGGGUGAGGCUUUGGCCAGCAUCAGCCACGUGGCUCACGUUACUAUUACGACCAAAACAGCUGAUGCAAAGUGCGCAUACAGAGCAAGUUACUCAGAUGGAAAGCUGACAGCUCCUCCUAAACCAUGUGCAGGCAAUCAGGGGACCCAGAUUAUGGUGGAAGAUCUCUUUUACAACAUAUCCACAAGGAGGAAAGCUUUAAAAAAUCCGAGUGAAGAGUAUGGGAAAAUUUUGGAAGUUGUUGGCAGGUAUUCGAUACACAAUUCAGGCAUUGGUUUCUCAGUUAAAAAACAAGGCGAGACAGUGGCUGACGUUAGAACACUGCCCAGUGCCACGACUGUAGACAAUAUUCGCUCCAUUUUUGGAAAUGCUGUUAGCCGAGAGCUGAUAGAAGUCGGGUGUGAGGAUAAAACCCUAGCCUUCAAAAUGAAUGGCUUUAUAUCCAAUGCAAAUUACUCCGUGAAGAAGUGUAUCUUCUUACUCUUCAUCAACCAUCGUCUGGUAGAGUCAGCUUCCUUAAGAAAAGCCAUUGAAACCGUGUAUGCAGCCUAUUUGCCCAAAAACACACACCCGUUCCUGUACCUCAGUUUGGAGAUCAGCCCCCAGAACGUGGAUGUCAACGUGCACCCCACAAAGCACGAGGUUCACUUCCUACACGAGGACAGCAUCCUGGAGCGGGUGCAACAGCACAUUGAGAGCAAGCUCCUGGGCUCCAACUCGUCCAGGAUGUACUUCACCCAGACUUUACUCCCAGGUCUUGCUGGCCCCUCUGGGGAGGUGGUUAAGUCCACAAUGGGUGUGACCCCCUCAUCCACUUCUGGAAGCAGCGACAAGGUCUAUGCUCACCAGAUGGUCCGCACAGAUUCGCGGGAACAGAAGCUCGAUGCGUUUAUGCAGCCUGUGAGCAAGGCUCUGUCCGGUCAGCCUCAGGCCGUGGUCCCAGAAGAUGGGCCUGAGGCUUCCAGCAGCAGGGCCAGGCAGCAGGAUGAGGAAAUGCUCGAACUCCCGGAGCCUGCUGCAGUGGCUGCCACAAAUCAGGGCUUGGAGGGGGAUGCAACAGAGGGGACUUCGCAAGCGUCGGAGAAGAGAGGGCCCCCUUCCAGCCCAGGUAACCCCAGAAAGAGGCCCCGGGAAAGCUCUGAUGUGGAAAUGGUGGAAGAUGAUUCCCGGAAGGAAAUGACAGCAGCUUGUACUCCCCGGAGAAGGAUCAUCAACCUCACCAGUGUCCUGAGCCUCCAGGAAGAAAUUAAUGAGCGGGGACAUGAGACUCUCCGAGAGAUGUUGCACAACCACUCCUUCGUGGGCUGCGUGAAUCCUCAGUGGGCCUUGGCACAGCAUCAGACCAAGCUAUACCUUCUCAACACCACCAAACUUAGUGAAGAACUGUUCUACCAGAUACUCAUUUAUGAUUUUGCCAAUUUUGGUGUUCUGAGGCUGUCGGAGCCAGCGCCACUCUUUGACCUGGCCAUGCUCGCCUUAGACAGUCCCGAGAGUGGCUGGACAGAGGAGGAUGGCCCCAAAGAAGGACUUGCUGAGUACAUUGUUGAGUUUCUAAAGAAGAAGGCUGAGAUGCUUGCGGACUAUUUCUCCUUGGAGAUCGAUGAGGAAGGGAACCUGAUUGGAUUACCCCUGCUGAUCGACAACUACGUGCCCCCUUUGGAGGGCCUGCCUCUCUUCAUUCUUCGACUAGCCACCGAGGUGAACUGGGAUGAAGAAAAGGAAUGUUUUGAAAGCCUCAGCAAAGAGUGUGCUAUGUUUUACUCCAUCCGGAAGCAGUAUGUAUGUGAGGAGUCGACCCUCUCAGGCCAGCAGAGUGACGUGCCUGGCUCCUCAGCAAACCCCUGGAAGUGGACUGUGGAACACAUCGUCUAUAAAGCCUUCCGCUCACACCUUCUGCCUCCUAAACGUUUCACGGAAGAUGGAAAUAUCCUACAGCUUGCCAACCUGCCCGAUCUAUACAAAGUCUUCGAGAGAUGUUAAGCACCGUCACUCUUGGACUCGGGGGUGUGCGGUUCCUGCACUGUGUCCUGAUGAGGGUCCUGGGGGCACCAGGGUGGUUCAGUCGGUUAAGCCCCAAAACUAGAGUCCUGAACUAGAAGAGGCUCUGGUGACACUGAGAAUGGAGAAAGGUGAAUCGAGGAUCUGUUAGCACCCUCAGUAACCUAAGCUCAUUAGUUUAUUCGUAAUGAAAAAACCUUGAGAGAAGACAGAAGUCCUUACGGAAUCUGUAACUGGUGCACAUUUUAAACCAGCCCCCUUUGUUAAGGGAUGUGAACACUACCAGCUUAAGUUCUCAUUAUUCUGACCCGAAGGAUGACGUAAAAAUACAAACCCGAGCCGUAUGUGCCACUACCGUCAGAUGCCUUUAAUACUAGCCUGGUUCACAGAAAUGUGCAGUGUGCACGGGAAGAACGCCUACAGUUUUGAGGUAAAAUCCAGAUGACAAGACUCAGUAAAGAACGUUCCAUGGAAAGAACAGGGAACCGUCCCUUAAGAAAAAGUGGAACCAUUCCCUUUGGAAGAGACAAAUCUGUUGUAUCCCAAAAGAAGCAGGAUCAGGUCCUACCACGUAGAACUUCCAAAAGGUUGACAGGGCAUCUCAGCAGCGGCCCUCCGGGAGCCCAGCGGGGCACAGGCUGAGCGGCCCAGGCGGGGCGAGGAGGGGUCACCUCACGGUGUGCUGGCUCCAGCUGUGGGCCCCCACCCCUCCUACCCCGGGUCCCACUACUACGGCUGCGAAGGAAGUAUGUAGGAAAUCCCCCCGGACUCACGACACCGGUUCCAUAUUUUAAAAACAAAAGACUAACUGCUCUGAAGAGGGUAAUUCGCAGAGAUUUUCUUCACAUCCGAGUUAGCUUCAGGAUGUAAUUCCAAGUCUAACUUUGUUAUCUCACGUGCCCUGGACUGACUCAUUAGACUUCUCGCGGUAUUUGUUCUGAACAUGCAACCACCAUCUCCACAAACACCUUGAUUCUGAGGGCAGACGAGAAUCACGGAUCCUGCAAAGUGGCUCCACGAUAAAAGCCUCUUAAACUGGAUGCGUUUAAAGACACGACUGAAGUUCUUAAAAAGCUGUACAUUCCAGAUUAUUUUCCGUGAGGAGGAGGAGAAGAGGGGCAGCGUAAGAGGGACGUGGCUGCCCCGAUGUGUUGAAAGGCUCCCGUAACAAAAUGAAUGUGUCAGGAGCCAGCUGUGGUCAGCAAGAGGGUGUGUUUAAUAGGGUCUUGGGCCGACUCCCCCCCCCCCCGCACCCCCCGCCGGGCUCGUCUGAGGUUUCAUUCCACAAAUCAGCAGCAGAUGAGAUACUUUACACGAGAUACAGCACAGGCGAUGUUGACGACAAAGGGCCCUACUCUGACCUUAAGAGUGUCGGGCUUUGGACUUCCCCGGCCACAUGCAAUAAAGCAAGUUUUAUAUACACUCCCCGUAUCUGUAUUUUUUCUAACAUUUUCUUAUAUAAAUUUAAAUAUUUUACAAAAAAAGGCUUCUUCCUCCAAACAUAGAAAUUUGAGUGAAACAUACAUUCCCCACGUGUGAACCUGUUUCUUCACUAAAAUAUAAAUGCUAUCUGAUACGAAGGGUAAGUGUCUUUGACCGCUGGAGAGGACUGAAGUCUGAAUUGCACCGUGGAGAAGGCACUUGUGUUUCCCGAGGUCUCCAGCCAAGUAUCUCACGGGGCGCUCACAGAACCGCCGUCCUCUCGCCGUGACGAGAGCCCCGUCACAGAGGCCGCUGGGGGAAAUGGUGAGUAAACUCGAUUCUACAAUUAUGGAAAUAAAAAGUAAAAACAGCACGGACCAGUUCUUAGUCUAGAAUCAAAUUACAAACGAAAUCCAAAGCGUUCAUUCAUGAAGAUUCAAACCUGUUUCAUUCUCUCAUAAAUUAUAAAAUACAAAGGUGGCUAUUUUACUGACAAGACUCAAACAGUACAGAAGGGGGUUUGUGUCAGUGGACAGAAAGUCCCUCUGGGCGGGACCCCGGGCGCGGCUCCCGGGCAGAGGGGUGCCUCCUACUGCUGGGCCAGAAGUGCUGUCCUGUUGGCCUUCAUCUUUUCCAGCCGCUUGGCCAGGUGGCUGUUGGUCAUCUCCACCUCCUCGAUCUUGUCCAGUGCCGUUCGUAACUGCGGACAGGGAGAGCCCAGUCACUUGACACGGUCACACACAAAACCCGGUGCCACUUCAAUGCCCCUGUCUGCGAGACGGGACCCGCUGGCGGCGCUGAACGGGGACACUGAGCGUGGAUCACAGUAAGGACAGACAUACAGCAGGUGGAGGAACAGACCGGUGCUAAAACAAAAGGGAAACCUCUCCUCUUCCUUAGUCUCGAACUGACCGAAACAUACAAGUAAAUGGCAGUCACCGUGCAGGUCAAAACCCACCACGGAACAGGGAGAGACCCACCGCUGUUCCCUUAGGACUGGACCCAGGAUUCAACUCCUGACGCCGCGAAGGAUCUUUACGUUUUAGGAACGUGAGCGCGCAAAAGCAGGUACCUCUCGCUGUAGCUUCCUCUUCUCCGCCUUCAGUUCAUCUUCCACUUUCUCCGCAUUCUCGGCGGCGGUCUUAUACCUCAGCACCUGGCCCUCGAGUCGGCUGACCUGUCAACAAGAGAACACGGGCUACUGCUGACGGGCACCGGGAGCCCUUUGCUUGCAGCCACCAUGGAAACGCAGCGUCAUUACAAAUCCCAAGUUGUCCCCUCACGGUGAGUCAUAGGGCCUCUCAGAACCCAGCGGCUAUUUAUAGAUGAGGAAGUGUCCCCUGAGAGGAUUACAGCUGGACAGUCAACAGAGGGCCGAUUUCCCACGUCAGGUUUACGAUGGACAUAUUGUUUAAGUGCCAAAGUAACACUGCAGGAUCAGACACACUAAGUGGAAAAGCUUUCAGACUUCUUGAAACGUAGAAUAAGGGAUUUUCAAACUAAGAGACUUCCUGAAGUCCCCUGAAAUAUCUGGAAAAAACAGAAUUACAGCUACGGUUUUCUACGUUUUCAAUAGCGAACGGAAGGCUGAAGUGCCCUUCGGGGUCUCUUCUGCUGGCUUUCUUCUUUACUACAGAGCUUCUACAGAGAUCCAACUGCAGAGACACCCAACCCAAAGAAACCUAGGUACUCCUGGAGUCGGCCACUUAGAUGUUGCAAAGGGACUUUAAAUCUCUCGCCACCAUACUGAGAAGAACAGAAGAAGAGAAUGAAUCCUCUCCCGGAGGGAGUGAAGGUGUGACCCAUGAGGCGCUGACACCUGCUGCAGCCCGGGAGAGGACGAUGCGGUCCCCAAGACAGACACGAAUGCCCGCAGGGCAGCCACAGCAUCUCCAGCGCCCCGGGCCCUAGAACGAGUCUCCUGUGAGAAGCUCCGGCACCGAUCCAAGCCUCCCUUGGACCGGGGAGAAGAAAACGUACCCUUCACCCCACGAUGUGCGUAGGCUGAACGUGGAGCAAGGAGCCCUGUCGGUGCCUCAGUGGCCCUGCCAACCUUGACCUGCUGACCCCCGUCCAGGAGCCUCCAGUUUCCUGUACCUUCCCGCCUCCCGGGUUCCCUCCUGCUGCCACACCUCGGGUGCCCCGCUCUCCCACCGCUGACUGAAGUCCCCAGCAACCUCCGUCAUGACUCUCCUUAGUCAACUGUGACUUCUUCCCUGUCGCUUUGAUUUGCACUGUCUUUUCUAACACUGAUCAUGCCUCUGAACGCGGGCCCUGGCUCCGCCUCCCUCGGUCUAUCUGCGUCUUGCCGAGGGCUCUGUGCGUGUGCUUAAUAAACAUUUGCUGAAAGAAA